Molecule: ribosomal RNA, 1354 nt
Filed under: Escherichia coli
Lineage: Bacteria; Pseudomonadati; Pseudomonadota; Gammaproteobacteria; Enterobacterales; Enterobacteriaceae
Description: partial 23S ribosomal RNA
Rfam family: Bacterial large subunit ribosomal RNA
Source: RNAcentral
UUGUGAGGUUAAGCGACUAAGCGUACACGGUGGAUGCCCUGGCAGUCAGAGGCGAUGAAGGACGUGCUAAUCUGCGAUAAGCGUCGGUGAGGUGAUAUGAACCGUUAUAACCGGCGAUUUCCGAAUGGGGAAACCCAGUGUGUUUCGACACACUAUCAUUAACUGAAUCCAUAGGUUAAUGAGGCGAACCGGGGGAACUGAAACAUCUAAGUACCCCGAGGAAAAGAAAUCAACCGAGAUUCCCCCAGUAGCGGCGAGCGAACGGGGAGGAGCCCAGAGCCUGAAUCAGUGUGUGUGUUAGUGGAAGCGUCUGGAAAGGCGCGCGAUACAGGGUGACAGCCCCGUACACAAAAAUGCACAUAUUGUGAGCUCGAUGAGUAGGGCGGGACACGUGGUAUCCUGUCUGAAUAUGGGGGGACCAUCCUCCAAGGCUAAAUACUCCUGACUGACCGAUAGUGAACCAGUACCGUGAGGGAAAGGCGAAAAGAACCCCGGCGAGGGGAGUGAAAAAGAACCUGAAACCGUGUACGUACAAGCAGUGGGAGCCUCUUAAUGGGGUGACUGCGUACCUUUUGUAUAAUGGGUCAGCGACUUAUAUUCUGUAGCAAGGUUAACCGAAUAGGGGAGCCGAAGGGAAACCGAGUCUUAACUGGGCGUUAAGUUGCAGGGUAUAGACCCGAAACCCGGUGAUCUAGCCAUGGGCAGGUUGAAGGUUGGGUAACACUAACUGGAGGACCGAACCGACUAAUGUUGAAAAAUUAGCGGAUGACUUGUGGCUGGGGGUGAAAGGCCAAUCAAACCGGGAGAUAGCUGGUUCUCCCCGAAAGCUAUUUAGGUAGCGCCUCGUGAAUUCAUCUCCGGGGGUAGAGCACUGUUUCGGCAAGGGGGUCAUCCCGACUUACCAACCCGAUGCAAACUGCGAAUACCGGAGAAUGUUAUCACGGGAGACACACGGCGGGUGCUAACGUCCGUCGUGAAGAGGGAAACAACCCAGACCGCCAGCUAAGGUCCCAAAGUCAUGGUUAAGUGGGAAACGAUGUGGGAAGGCCCAGACAGCCAGGAUGUUGGCUUAGAAGCAGCCAUCAUUUAAAGAAAGCGUAAUAGCUCACUGGUCGAGUCGGCCUGCGCGGAAGAUGUAACGGGGCUAAACCAUGCACCGAAGCUGCGGCAGCGACGCUUAUGCGUUGUUGGGUAGGGGAGCGUUCUGUAAGCCUGUGAAGGUGUGCUGUGAGGCAUGCUGGAGGUAUCAGAAGUGCGAAUGCUGACAUAAGUAACGAUAAAGCGGGUGAAAAGCCCGCUCGCCGGAAGACCAAGGGUUCCUGUCCAACGUUAAUCGGGGCAGGGUGAGUCGACC